This 440-nucleotide ribosomal RNA is filed under the name uncultured bacterium. Its description in RNAcentral is "partial 16S ribosomal RNA". It matches the Rfam family "Bacterial small subunit ribosomal RNA", at positions 338 to 795 of the family's 1533-position model. The record is from RNAcentral.
CCUACGGGUGGCAGCAGUGGGGAAUAUUGCACAAUGGGGGAAACCCUGAUGCAGCGACGCCGCGUGAGUGAGGAAGUCUUUCGGUACGUAAAGCUCUAUCAGCAGGGAAGAAAAUGACGGUAGUUGCCUAAGAAUCCCCGGCUAACAACGUGCCAGCAGCCGCGGUAAUACGAAGGGGGCAAGCGUUAUCCGGAUUUAAUGGGUGGCAAGGGAGCGUAGACGGCAGCGCAAGUCUGGAGUGAAAUCCCAUGGCUUAACCAUGGAACUGCUUUGGAAACUGUGCAGCUGGAGUGCAGGAGAGGUAGGCGGAAUUCCUAGUGUAGCGGUGAAAUGCGUAGAUAUUAGGAGGAACACCAGUGGCGAAGGCGGCUUACUGGACUGUAACUGACGUUGAGGCUCGAAAGCGUGGGGAGCAAACAGGAUUAGAUACCCCGGUAGUC